RNAcentral lists this long non-coding RNA (582 nucleotides) under Lotus japonicus. RNAcentral's name for it is "long non-coding RNA (LJAP_LNC002187)". The record is from RNAcentral. Lineage: Eukaryota; Viridiplantae; Streptophyta; Magnoliopsida; Fabales; Fabaceae.
AACAGAGAGAGCCUUGUUUAAACUCCAUCAAGAGUUGUGGGCACUUGGGAAGCCAUUUCUGAGAGCUGCUGCUUUGGCAUCCUCCACUAAGGCCCAACGAAGCUCCUGAGGGGGGCUAAACAACCAGUUAUCCAAUAACUUGUUUUCCCUGCAAAGUUUUGCAACUUAAUUUAACUUGAACAUAUACAAGUAGGCAUGCCUAUAUUUGCAAUUAAUAUGCACCAUUUUUUUUGGAACAACAAAAAGAGUAUAUUGUUUUAUCAAUUAAUGAAGGAUUUCAUUAAAAAAGGCCCAUAGAAACUUGAUACACAUACAGCUGAAGCUACAAAGGCUGAGUAUAUGAAUAUAUGUUUGAGAACAAUGAAAACAAUCUGUACAAAAAUCUCAAGCAUAAAGUAAAAAACCCAAGAAGCCGAAAACGAACCCCAAGCCAAUUAAAAAAAAAGCCAAUUAAGAAAAAACUUGAACCUUCCAAAUCCAAGCUAAACAAAAUCCCCAAACCCCUUUCCUCUUUACUUUUUUUCAAGUGGAUUAGUGGUGGACAAAUAAUAAGACACUUAAUAGAAUAUAAAUAUUUUGAUA